GUUGAACUGGACAGUGGAGUCGGAGGAGUUCAGGACAUCAGUGGCAGUGUACGGAGCUGGAUUCUGUGCCACCUAGUAGAGGAGAUUGAGCAAUAUUAAUAUGAUGAGGGAAAGAGGAUCAGAUACAUAUUAGGAAAGGGUUUAGGGGGCAUAGCAGGUGAUGUGGAAGGAUAUCCACUGCAGGGUGGUUGAGGAGGAAAUAUGGGAUUAGGAGGUGGGUGAACAAUACUCUCACCUACAGCAGGGUAGGGAGGAGUAUAGUCCUGUAAAUCAGUAGCACAGGUACUGUAAGGCUAUACAAGCUUCAACACACAUUUAAUGGAUUUUGUUGUUUCUUUAGGUAAUGGGUAAUAGUUUCACAUUUUUUCCAUCUACUGCCAUUAGAUAGAUGGGGUUUAGUAUACAACAUUCUUUUUUCCCCCUUUUUUUAAACUUACUUUGUACUUAUUUUAUUCAAAUAAGUAACCAUUUAAAUGUUAUAUUUUUAACACUUUAACAGGUAGGAGUGUAAAAACAAAAUGAAAAAACAACUAUCAAAACAUUGAGACAUCUAUCUCUGCUGCCUGACUGAGAAUGGCAUCACUCAUGUCUGAGUCUGAAGAUCAUGCAGGGAUCUCCUUUACUCUCAUCCUCUCUCUCAUCCCUCCACUAUUACUCCUUUUACCAUAAAAUAGGGAUAGACUGCUUUGAAGCUCAAACUCAAAAUUCACAUAUUCUAUACAAUAAAGGAAAAUGCUGUCAGUCACAAGCACAUCAAUUAUACAAAAAACAGGAAGCAUAACCCUGCUAACAGCUUUAAAAUCCAAAGUCCAAUAAGGUUGUCAAACAGACAGGAUGCAAUUAAUUUGUUUGUCCUGUCCAAAUCAGAGUGAAAUACAAAAAUCCAAAUUUGAAAUAAAAUUUUUAAAAUGGCACAUUGGCUACGGAGUAUGUGAGAAGGGACAAAUAUUGGUCAGUUCAUACACUGACCAACGAAUGGCAUCGUAGGGGUAAACAUGCCAUGGUUCAGUUCAACCCAGGGUUGGCUGGGCAACAUAGGCCAUGAUCUCUGUGGCCAUGAGGGUGCGCCAAGGUCACUUGUCAUGGGUUACCAAAUUAACACUAACAUAACCCAUCCAUAAUAGUGAAUAGGAAAUCUUUUGGAACUUAACUCACAUACAUUUUGUAAACAUAAUAGUGGACAGGAUUAGACAAAACAAAGGCAGUGAGACAAUGCUGUGGUUUUCACAUCCUGUUUAUACCCUCUCUCGUGCACACCUGCACUCACACUGAUGCAUAAUCUGCGUCAAAUGUAGGGCUAGCAAUUGAGAUUUGAGAAAUAAAAAAAACAUGACUCUUGCACAAUCCUAUGUUGUGUUGUGUGCUGGUGUGUUACCGGUGGGGGGCCUGCAGGAGCCUGAGGAUUGACGUAGGCUGGUGGAGGUCCAGGUGGAUUAACUUGGUUGUCGAACUUCACAACAGUGGUGUUGGUGGUGGGUUGCCUUCGCUUUUUACAAUUCUUAUUUCUAAAGCAGCAGCAAAUACAGGGUGGUAUACCAAGCAAUAGCAGAAGAGCUGUCAGAGGACCUGUACUAAUCCCUUGAUGUUGAUCUAGAGAGAGAGAGAGAGAGAGAGAGAGGUGGGCAAACAUAAUUAUUACACAAACUGAAAUCCUCAAAAGAGGGGAAUUGGAUAUGGAAGAUGAUGAACCCUGUCAGUUACCUAUAGACCAUUACAUUUGCUUCUUUAUAAAAUUCCAUUCUUAACAUCAUGAACAUUAGUGAGAUCUUAGUUAAUUUUAUAUUAAUGUUAGAAUAAAGACAGUUUUACAAGAAUUUUAAAUAACUUCCUAUCUUACUGCCACUGGCGGAUUGUAUUUUGUCUUUGGAGUCAUCUAGCCUUUUUCUUUUCCUGUGAAGUGUUUUACACAUACCCACUGUCAAUCACUGUUAAUUCUAAAGCUCUUAACGUGUUUUUGACGUGUUUGAUGACGUGCCAAAUACCCUAGCACCCAGAGUGAGACGCGCGAAUGUCAUGACCUCCACUUCCAGCAGCGCCCUCGGAGUGAUGAUGGGGCGUGCGCAUGCAUGAGCUACGUGCACGAGCGCAUGCUCUUCGGAUGUUGACAACCGUGACAUUGUUUACUGUGGACACAUGCAUUUGUUUUGUUUCUGUUCCGGAGUAUUCUGUCACGUCGCGAGACGUAAGGGAGUAGAGUACGGAAGCAGGUAAAGACGUAUUUAUUAAAGGGAACAUAACAUUAACAACGUAUCUAACUAUACUCUAUCUACUUUAAUACUCCACGAGGUGUACAGGGUCACGAGCGGUAUAUAUCCCCAAUAUAAUCAGACGUCUAUAACCGAAUAGAACCAUUUUUUGCACUCGUCAAUGCACUUUUUUGUCGUAGGCUACAGAGUGUUAAAUUCUUUCAGCAGUCAGUUAUAGGCCUAACAUAGGCUAUUCGAGGGGGGCUCAAAGAUGACCACAUAAAAAUAUUUUUAUUUUACUAAUUUAUUUAUUUAAAGGUACAUUGUGCCUUGUUGGUAGCCUGUGCCUGCUGGAAUGGAAAAAAAAAUGUUCGGUGUUAAAUAAAUAUUUUGAAAUUGUG
This is a long non-coding RNA of Ictalurus punctatus (channel catfish), 2587 nucleotides long. RefSeq lists it as uncharacterized. The record is from RefSeq and is a predicted model, not a curated record. The transcript is spliced from 2 exons. NCBI's taxonomy places the organism in Eukaryota, Metazoa, Chordata, Actinopteri, Siluriformes, Ictaluridae.